RNAcentral lists this long non-coding RNA (446 nucleotides) under Lathyrus oleraceus (garden pea). RNAcentral describes it as "Pisum sativum (pea) long non-coding RNA (PSAT_LNC017145)". Lineage: Eukaryota; Viridiplantae; Streptophyta; Magnoliopsida; Fabales; Fabaceae. The record is from RNAcentral.
CUUCAAGGUAUCUCAGGCCAUGUUUAUAUGGUUGCAGGACAUGUUUGGCCAGAUGGAGUUAGGAUUGGAAGUGCAGCAACACAUAUAACAUGGUGGACAUGAAAUUGAACAUGAGCCAAAUUACUUAAAAAUGAAGAAACCAAACAAAAGUAUAUCAAAUCAAAACCUUUGGAUGAAGCAUCAAGGCCAAAUGGGUUAGAUUAGGUUUUUGAUGGUCAACAAAUGGAGAGGUUGACUUUGGUCAAAGUUGACCAAAAAGACAACUGUUGACCAAAGUCAAAAAUAGGUCAAAACUUUAUUUUUUGGUAUUUUCUUUGUAAAUGGACAAUGUAUUGAUGAUCAUGGUGAAAUUUAGGGUUUAAUGAAUUUGGGUUGACUUUGGUCAAAGUUGACCAAAAAGUCAACUGUUGACCAAAGUCAACAAUUGGUCAAAAGUGUCAAUUUUU